RNAcentral lists this long non-coding RNA (4322 nucleotides) under Cricetulus griseus (Chinese hamster). RNAcentral describes it as "lncRNA (ENSCGRG00015029407.1)". Lineage: Eukaryota; Metazoa; Chordata; Mammalia; Rodentia; Cricetidae. The record is from RNAcentral.
CCGCCAUGUGAGUCCAACAAGAGAGGACGCAUGCUGCCAGCAUCCUUGAUCAGUUUCAGAACUUGGCAGCCUUAUUCUUGGAGCUGUGAUAUGUUGAGAACCCUAACAGACACGAUCUUCUCUCCCCCUCAGUGAAGGGUGUCACACGGCAUUCUGGCCACAGCCCUCUCCCCUGUGUUCCAGUCAACAAAGUGGUUUGGUCCUGUCUUCCCCAGAGCAACGGCCUUGACUUAACAAUCAUUAUGUGUGUUUUCACUUAACGAGCAUUUGUGGGUGACUAUUUUCAAGAACGAAGCACACCAAAAGCCAAGUUAGAGUCAAAGUAGUGAGUGCCUGGGGAAUCCGCUGAGAACUGCAAUUACUUGCAAUUACACACAGCAGCCGUGGUGGUAGAGGUGUUUCUGUUGAACAUACACAGGACAUCCAUGUCCUGCUCUGUUUCUCUCUGCCUUACUCCUUUGAAACAGGUUCUUUCCCUGCACCUGGAGCUAGGUGCCAGCAAGCCCCAGCAAUUCUGUCUUUGCCUCCACACAGCACUGAAAUUGCACAGCCAUGCCUGGCUGUUUAUAUGUCAUCCGGAUUUGAAUUCAUGUCCUUAUGCUUGCACAAGCAAGCACUCUUCCUCAGUGAGUCCUCUCCAUGGCCCUCAAACUUGAUACUGAUCCAUCAGUUCUCAAAUAGAAUGCCAAUUUCGCUAUGUUGCCUUCUUUUUCCUUGCUUUUAUAGAAGUAUUUUUAAAAAUCAAUUCCGUUUCAUCACUUAGAUAUGCUCAUCUUCUUUAUUAGUGACUACAAACUUGAGACCUGCUCAGUGAUUUGAAAAGAGUCUCCAAAUGAGGCACUCAUGGAGCCAAAGUGAGCCAAUCCACAACAGCUUCACUUUCCAGAGACAACCUGGGCAUCGAUCCUCCUGUGGCCUCUUCUAGGUUUCUCAACAUCUACCUUGCCGUCCUAAUCUUAUCUCCUUCCCAUGAUUUGCCUCCCACCCACUAUCCAUCCUGGCUUUACUCCAUCUAGGACACAAAUCUAGAGUUCUGACGUCUAAUAACCUAUGUUCAUCUCCUCAAUGGAGAGGAAGUUCUUUGAUGUCAGGGAUAUAUAUUUUUUCAUGUUUGUAUUCCUAGAGCCCAGAAGUGUACCUAAGAUAUAGCAUUAUGUACUCAAUGCUCUCAAAAGAGGGGGGUGAGUAUAGGACACACACAUAAGUGUCAGGGACAUUAACUGUUAACCUUGCGAUCCUCCUCCGGUGUGCUCCACAAUGCUCACAGUGUUACGGAAAAGGAAGUUCUGCACACAGAAGCUCUGCGUCAACCCAGGCUGAAGCGCUUCUGUUUCUUUAUUCUAGGCAGGGCCUGUAAGGACUCAGGCAUUAUGCUGGCCUGCCCCUGUCUCCUGACAGAAUGCACUCGGGCAGUACCCUGGUCAGCCCAGGGUUCCAUGAGUCCUAGUCUGCAGAGAUGCAAAGGACCCUUUUAAAAGACAGACCCCCACCCACUUCUGUUCUCUUUCCUACUUCUCUCUUUCCUGCUGUUCCCCUGGGGCAGACAGGACUUUUCCUGUCUCCCUCUUCUCUUCUGUCCCCUCUCUGUGUCUCUUUUUACACACACACACACACACACACACACACACACACACACACACACACACACCGUCUACAUGAGGCACACUGUCAGCAAAAAAAAAAAGCAGCAAAAGCAAGAAUAUGACAAACAGCUGAAGCAUGAGCAAUUAAUACCGUCUGAAUGUGGAAAACAAAGCUUAAUUUAGAAAAGAAAAAAAAACGAAUACAAACAAAAUGCUGGAUGGCUGUUUGCCUGUCCAGUGUGACCAUCAGCAGCAACAGGACAUUCGAAGCAUCACCACAGCCUUUCUGAUAUGAGGGGCCAGGGCCUGGGCUGGAAGCACAGGGUGACAUCGGGCUGCCUCACCUGGCUCCCCUACUUUUCCGGUGGACUUUCCACGCUUACGCUCACCGCCUGGACCCCAGAUGGCUGCCAGAAGCUUCAAGUACCUUUCCUCUCAUUCUGGCAUCACAAAUGAUAAAGAAACAGCACAGUACCCUGCCCAAAGGCCUAAGGGGUGCAUUUAGAGCUCGGUUUUAGCAGAGUAAAACCUCUUUCCCAGAACCCCUUGGCAUCCUCCUUCCAGUUCACUGGCAGACCAUGUCACAUCACCCCCUGCUAGCAAGCUAACUGGGACAAUACUAUGAAGCCGGGGGAAAUGGGGUUUCAUAUCUGACCUAGAUUUAGAACCACUUACUGAUUGAUGCUUGAGGAGGUGCCAGUCUUCUCCGAAGCAAUUAGAUGAUUCUUUAAUAUGCGAUCUGUUUUUACCAUGUCUGUUUUUGUAAUUUUUCCCAAUUUUCAAUGGCUUUGGUCAGCAGCUAUUUUCCAGUGAGCUUUCAUUUUUAUAAUGAAGCCUAGUUUUAAUUGGUGUUAGCUUUUUGUACUAUUUAUAUAAAAUCAUAUCUGCCCCCUCAGCCUAUCACAAUAUCCUCAAUUACAACAGCAAAACUAAAAAAAAAAAAUCACAGUUCUGUCUUAAAGGAAAGGAGGCUUUUGGGGAGGAGACAAGAAAUGAACCCACAAAGAAUGGAGUGCUUGCCUUAUCCGAGUUUUAAACCAUGCGUGGAAGUACAGGCUUGUGAUUCCAACACUUGGGAGGCACCACAGGAGGAUCUGGAACUUAAAGCCAUCUUUAUCGUCCACUACACCAUGAAUUGGAGGCCAGCCUGGGCUACACUAAGACCAUUUUCAAAAUAGAAGUAACUGCCUAAAUUUAGAGAUUACUGGCUAAGAGUAGGUUGAGGUGUCUGCUUCGGUCUCAGGACUUGAGGGUACUGCUAUGGGUUGCUUCUCCCUUCACAGUCAUCUUUCCUUUUGCUACUCAUCAUCUCUGUGUGAAAACCACAGUGGUUUUCCUGUAUAUUUUUCUUUUUAUUCUUUAAUCCUUCUGAUGGGGAAUGUACUGUGUAUGUUUAUCUUAUUGUUAAAUAAAAUACUGUUUGGCCAAUGGCAAGCAAGGACUAGGAGUCAAAGAGGAUUCUGGGAAAUGUAGUAGAGAAGUGAUGAUCCAGGCAGGAAGUGACAUGGCAAGGAGACUCAUAUCUAAGCGAGGAAACAAGAAGUAUGACUCUUUUCCCCCUCUGCUCCUGCUCCAGCGGCACAAUGUGAUCCACCGGCAAGGAGGGACGCCAAUAAGGUGUCUGAUAAGUCUUAUAAAAUAUAUAGGUUUAUGAUAAUUAAGACUGAGCUAACAGAUGAGAAUCCUAAUCAUUGGCCAAGCAGCAUUGUACCUAAUACAAGUUUUGUGUAUUCAUUUGGGCCCUAACUCAGGCUGUCGGCUGGCGUAAAGCUCACACGUGGCGGUGGGGCUCCGGCAGCUUUUGGCAGAAAGAUUUAUUGUAACAUCCUUGUACCGGUUAGAAUUGGAGUUUGUGGAAGAAAGGAAGAAAAAGACCCAAACUACAAUGGCUUCAAUUAAGCAACAGUGUUUUCUAUCGGUCAAAGAACUAGGGCAGAUUGAUUAAAGUUCAUAGGUGGCCCUACCCAAAAAGUCCUUGGGAGCAUUUUAAUGUCUUAUGAAGCAUUGCCUAAUUACACAAUUAAAAAUGACAAUUAGAAUCUUAAAAAGCCAAAAACAAUGUUUUCAGCACCCAGGCUCUUGUUUUCAUACAAGCCUGAAGUUUGAAUUACCAAAAUGGCUACUGUAGAAGCAGCCAACCAACACCUCCCAGUCAAGUGGAGGAUUGGAUGUGUUUCCCAAACAGCUGUGGCUUCCAGCCAUAUCAUAUUUUUAUAUUUGCACUUACAGCCAUGCCCUAGGGCUCAGUACUAAGCUGAGAGGCUGACAAAAUAUCCUUCUACUAGGUGCCCACACACCCAGCUAAAAUGAGGACACAUUUUAUUACUUAAAAUAUUGUUUCCAUUUCUAUGGGGAAAGAAAGAGAUUUGAUGUUGGGGGGGGGGGCUGUCAGCAGUCCACAUCCUCUGUUCCUGUAUUGGAUUUUGUCCAGCAGAGACACACAAAAGUUUCUUCCGAUUUUUCAGUCUGAUCCACAUGAUCUCAUUGGUGUCUAGGAAAAGAUUUCACAGACCUGAUAGAAUAGGAAAAAUGGUCAUCAGUGAAGUUCACAUCAAAAGCUAGGCUAUAUUUCUUUAAUUCUGCCAAGCCUUAGGAACAAACUUGUCCUUGCACCAGGACUAAAAAGUUAUAAACACAAGUUGAAAACUGAACACCCAAGGACUUCAAGAAGCUGACUCCUGUUGUGCUGACUCUGUGUGGUAUUAAUCUACUGCAAAUAAAUAUAAUCAUUUAAAUAAA